RNAcentral lists this ribosomal RNA (503 nucleotides) under uncultured bacterium. Its description in RNAcentral is "partial 16S ribosomal RNA". It matches the Rfam family "Bacterial small subunit ribosomal RNA", at positions 30 to 523 of the family's 1533-position model. The record is from RNAcentral.
AUUGAACGCUGGCGGCAGGCUUAACACAUGCAAGUCGAACGGGGUGAUGGUGCUUGCACUAUCACUUAGCGGCGGACGGGUGAGUAAUGCUUAGGAAUCUGCCUAUUAGUGGGGGACAACAUCUCGAAAGGGAUGCUAGUACCGCAUACGUCCUACGGGAGAAAGCAGGGGAUCACUUGUGACCUUGCGCUAAUAGAUGAGCCUAAGUCGGAUUAGCUAGUUGGUGGGGUAAAGGCCUACCAAGGCGACGAUCUGUAGCGGGUCUGAGAGGAUGAUCCGCCACACUGGGACUGAGACACGGCCCAGACUCCUACGGGAGGCAGCAGUGGGGAAUAUUGGACAAUGGGGGGAACCCUGAUCCAGCCAUGCCGCGUGUGUGAAGAAGGCCUUAUGGUUGUAAAGCACUUUAAGCGAGGAGGAGGCUCUUUUGGUUAAUACCCAAGAUGAGUGGACGUUACUCGCAGAAUAAGCACCGGCUAACUCUGUGCCAGCCGCCGCAGUAA